Molecule: ribosomal RNA, 199 nt
Filed under: uncultured bacterium
Lineage: Bacteria
Description: partial 16S ribosomal RNA
Rfam family: Bacterial small subunit ribosomal RNA
Source: RNAcentral
GGCUGAAAUUACGCCUUCAUGAAGCUGGAAUUGCUAGUAAUGGCAGGUCAGCAUACUGCCGUGAAUACGUUCCCGGGCCUUGUACACACCGCCCGUCACACCAUGAGAGUUGGAAAUACCCGAAGCCUGUGAGCUAACUGUAAAGAGGCAGCAGUCGAAGGUAGAGCCAAUGAUUGGGGUGAAGUCGUAACAAGGUAAC